Molecule: ribosomal RNA, 909 nt
Filed under: Triticum aestivum (bread wheat)
Lineage: Eukaryota; Viridiplantae; Streptophyta; Magnoliopsida; Poales; Poaceae
Description: partial small subunit ribosomal RNA
Source: RNAcentral
AUGCAAUUAAUGAGGUCAUCUUUUCUAUCAAAAAGUUUUGACAUGAAAGAUCUGGGAGAAGCCGAUGUAAUUCUAAACAUCAAACUUAUUAAGGAUGAGAGUGGGAUUACAUUAACGCAAUCUCACUAUGUUGAGAAGGUCUUGAACCGAUUCGGUUUUAUGGAUAGCAAGCCUUCUCCAACACCUUAUGAUCCCAGCGUGACACUCAGAAAGAACAAGAAAGAAACGAGAGAUCAAUUAAGAUACUCUCAAAUUGUCGGUUCACUCAUGUACUUAGCUAGCGCUACAAGAUCAGAUAUCUCUUUUGCUGUGAGCAAACUGAGUAGGUUCAUGUCCAACCCGGGUGAUGAUCAUUGGCAUGCACUAGAAAGGUUCUUGCGCUAUCUAAGAGGUACUAUGAGUUACGGAAUUACUUAUUCAGGGCAUCCUGCUGUGCUAGAAGGAUAUAGUGAUUCAAAUUGGAUUUCCGAUGUUGAUGUAUUUUACGCAACAAGUGGGUAUGUAUUUACUCAUGGUGGUGGCGUAGUGUCAUGGAGGUCUUGUAAGCAAACCAUAUUGACGAGGUCAACUAUGGAAGCAGAAUUAACUGCUUUGGACACAACUACUGUUGAGGCAGAAUGGCUGCGUGAGCUCUUGAUGGACUUGCCGGUUGUUGAAAAACCUGUACCGGCUAUUCUUAUGAAUUUUGAUAACCAAACGGUUAUCGCUAAAGUGAACAAUUCUAAAGAUAAUGCAAAGUCAUCAAGACACGUGAAAAGACGUUUGAAGUCUGUCAGGAAGUUGAGAAACUCUGGAGUAAUAACUGUUACGUAUAUACAAACAGACAAAAACCUGGCAGAUCCCUUUACAAAGGGACUAUCACGAAAUGUGAUAGAUAUUGCAUCGAGGGAGAUGGGUAUGAGACCCAUA